This is a long non-coding RNA of Callithrix jacchus (white-tufted-ear marmoset), 948 nucleotides long. RefSeq lists it as uncharacterized. NCBI's taxonomy places the organism in Eukaryota, Metazoa, Chordata, Mammalia, Primates, Cebidae. The record is from RefSeq and is a predicted model, not a curated record.
CAAAACAUUUAGGGCCAUUCGAAACCAUUCAGAUUAUUGACUCCACCUCCAGCUAAACGAGAUCAAACAGCCUUGUCUUUUUCCCUCUGCCUUUGUAACUAACCAAAGCCUGAAGUUCUCGGCAGUACCUUCCUAAUUGGCUUCAUUGUUUGGUUAUUGUGCUUAGAGCAGUUAGCAUUUGCAUUUCCAAUGGACCAGCCUGACAUUUCAGUUCCCUUUAAAUGACCCUUAAUGGUUUUCUAUGCUUCAGCAUAACCAGCGAAUCCACUCUUGGGGGUGAUUGUUACACUUACAAAAGAUGAUCCUCAAUGGCAACUAUUGUGUCUGCAGUGACAAGUGAACCAUAAUGAAGAGUGGAAUAAAACCAUGAUUCAUCUUCGGAGGCUGCCUCAGAGGGAAUGUGGGCUCACUCUUCCCCUCCUGAAGAAGGUACAGCAGGAUACUUCAAUCCCGAUCUCCAUGGGCCUUGCCAUCUUAGCAACUGACCUACCUAGUAGAGGCCAUGCAUGCCUAUUACCUAUCGCCUAGCUUCCUGCUCACCUUUCAGAAUUACAUCUGCAGUGCCCUACUGGAGACACAUCCACAAAGCAGGAAAUGCUGAUGGGCUCCCAGACCUUACUCAUGAAAAGGAAUUUUGUUGCCCCUGAACUGAAAGCUUGCUGACUCUCCACAAGAAAGGCUUUCUCCAUUCCCAUGGCUGUGUGCCAAUAAGGAAAUAGGACAAGAUUUAUGAGCAUGGCCCAAAAUGCCACAGCAGAGUUAGAAUAAUUUUUAAAAAAUAUAUUAAAAAGCAGAAGAAUUGGUCUUGAGUUGACACAGAUUUGCCGAUGACUCAAUCACCUUUUAUUUUAAGGCAAAGUAUCUUUCUUGGGAGAGAAUAAAUGAACCAUUCCUCCGAUGUCUACCGUCACUUUGUUUUGAGGAACGAUGGUGGAGUGCCACCACGGA